RNAcentral lists this ribosomal RNA (498 nucleotides) under uncultured bacterium. RNAcentral's name for it is "partial 16S ribosomal RNA". It matches the Rfam family "Bacterial small subunit ribosomal RNA", at positions 28 to 523 of the family's 1533-position model. The record is from RNAcentral.
GAUGAACGCUAGCGGCAGGCCUAAUACAUGCAAGUCGGACGGGAUUUGGGAGCUUGCUCCUAAUGAGAGUGGCGCACGGGUGCGUAACACGUAUGUAACCUACCUUAAUCAGGGGGAUAGCCUCUCGAAAGAGAGAUUAACACCGCAUAAUAUAUUUUUAUGGCAUCGUAGAAAUUUCAGAUAUUUAUAGGAUUAAGAUGGGCAUGCGGAACAUUAGCUAGUUGGUAAGGUAACGGCUUACCAAGGCUACGAUGUUUAGGGGAUCUGAGAGGAUGACCCCCCACACUGGUACUGAGACACGGACCAGACUCCUACGGGAGGCAGCAGUAAGGAAUAUUGGUCAAUGGGCGCAAGCCUGAGCCAGCCAUGCCGCGUGCAGGAAGACGGCCCUAUGGGUUGUAAACUGCUUUUGUACCGGAAUAAACCCUUUUACGUGUAAGAGGCUGAAUGUACGGUAAGAAUAAGGAUCGGCUAACUCCGUGCCAGCCGCCGCGGUAA